CCUACGGGUGGCAGCAGUGGGGAAUAUUGGGCAAUGGGCGCAAGCCUGACCCAGCAACGCCGCGUGAAGGAAGAAGGCUUUCGGGUUGUAAACUUCUUUUGUCAGGGACGAAGCAAGUGACGGUACCUGACGAAUAAGCCACGGCGAACUACUUGCCAGCCGCCGCGGUAAUACGUAGGUGGCAAGCGUUAUCCGGAUUUACUGGGUGUAAAGGGAUUGUAGGCGGGACUGCAAGUCAGAUGUGAAAACCGCGGGCUCAACCUGUGGCCUGCAUUUGAAACUGUAGUUCUUGAGUACUGGAGAGGCAGACGGAAGUCCUGGUGUAGCGGUGAAAUGCGUAGAUAUUAGGAGGAACACCAGUGGCGAAGGCGGGCUGCUGGACAGCAACUGACGCUGAGGCGAGAAAGCGUGGGGAGCAAACAGGAUUAGAUACCCCAGUAGUC
RNAcentral lists this ribosomal RNA (443 nucleotides) under uncultured bacterium. RNAcentral's name for it is "partial 16S ribosomal RNA". It matches the Rfam family "Bacterial small subunit ribosomal RNA", at positions 338 to 795 of the family's 1533-position model. The record is from RNAcentral.